GUAAGGCUUCCGGAGCCUGGCUGAGCCCGGACAGACGCAGCCUGACGCUUUAAUAGGUUGCAGAGAGUGCAAAGGAGGGGAGGCCGGGGAAAGAGGGGGAGUGGCCCAGCGAGGCCGGUAGCUGCAAGGAGGUGGCGAAGGACCCUCCUUCUCUGGGGUCCUAGCUCCGCGGAGCUGGGAGCCUGGCUCGCUUUAACCCUUUGCAUUCCAAUCCCCCCUCCCCGGAUACCGGAAAGUCUCUUCUCUUUUUCGUAUCAAAAAAAGCCCGGUGAAGACUCUGCAGAACCCAGGAAGCGCAGAAUCGGGAGAAAGUCUUUGGCUGGGGCUGGUUCAAGACCCUGCUUCAAUGGGCUGCUGGAAGCCAGGACUGGGGUUCCUCUGAGGGUGGACUUCUUUCGCGCUCGAUAGGCCUUGAAAACUGAGUUCCUGCUCCUUAUUACAUAUCUGGGACAAUAAUGAACAGGUCAAAACAGAAAAGUCGAGUAAACUGGGAGCGAUGCUUUUCAACACGUCGCGCAGGGUGUAGUGUUGGGGGAUGUGAUUUGAGGGCAAGAAUUUUAUUGCAAUACUAGGUAGUCAGCCAGCCCGGUCCCCGGGGGCCGACCUGCAAAGUACUACGCGUUUCCGCCCCCCGACCCCCCCACAGCGGUUACACCUCUGGGAAGCAUUACCUUGCCUGAUGACUUCACACUGCUCCGGGGAAACCCACUUACUAAUUCUCCCCUACAAACCUUCAGGGCUUCAGCCUUUGUUUGAACCCGGCCUUAGGUGGUUCAACUCUUGAGAAACUGGCUUAAGUUUCAGAGCACAAUUUCAUCCACUUAAUCAGACUCCUGCUUCUUGAUUUUUAGUUGUACGGUAGUUUUUAAAUGCUAAGCUGUAAUUUAAAAUAUAUUGUCUAACUGAUGUACUCUUACAUAUAAUGUGGAUUAAACUGAUUUAGGGGGAGGGUGGACAUCAUGGAGUGUCAAGUGUCUGGCUGUGGGACCCCACAGGGGCACUUAACCUCCACUCUAAACUUCCAUGAAUAUUAUAUGUAAUGCAGGCUUGCUGAUUAUUGCUUAGUAGUGCUUAACUGUUCCUGUGCUAAUGGUUCAAGCAAUGAAAACAUUUAGUAAAACUGUGUUUCUUUAUUAAUCAAAAACACAUUUGUUGUUUGUUCCCUUGAACUUGUAAUUCAUGGCCCAUAAAGCAAAAGUAAAAUAUUUCCUCACUGCGGAUGAAUAUAAAAGCUAAUUACAUAUCCGUGCAUUUCUGUCAGUUUCUCCCCCAUCCCCCAAGAGAAUGGGAAAGAGGCUAGAGGUGAAAGUUUACAUUUAAAUUCAGGGGUGAAGAUUCCUUAAAAGCAGAAUACUGUAUCAAUCAGAUUUUCUUAGGCAGGGCAUCCAGAAUAAGAGAUUGAGUAAAUUCAAAUCCCACCUUUGAUGUGGGAUUGUUUGUGUGUUCCUGGAAGUAUAUUUUACCUCUCUAGACCUUUAUUUCCUAGUUGAUAAAUGGAGAAAAUACCUGCUUUACAAAGUUGUUAUGAUGAUAGAACGUGUGAAACUAUGUUAGGAGAUUAGUAGAGUGCCUAAGCUCUACUCUUAGGUAGAGCUUCCUAAUGUAACUUAGCGUUUCCUAAUUUAACCAUUGUCGCU
Molecule: long non-coding RNA, 1637 nt
Organism: Equus asinus (donkey)
Lineage: Eukaryota; Metazoa; Chordata; Mammalia; Perissodactyla; Equidae
Source: Ensembl